UUCCGGUUGAUCCUGCCGGAGGUCACUGCUAUUGGGAUUCGACUAAGCCAUGCGAGUCGAGAGGGUUCGGCCCUCGGCUGACUGCUCAGUAACACGUGGAUAAUCUGCCCUAAGGUGGAGGAUAAUCUCGGGAAACUGAGAAUAAUACUCCAUAGGUCUAAGAUACUGGAAUGUUCUUAGGCUGAAAACUCCGGUGCCUUAGGAUGAGUCUGCGGACUAUCAGGUUGUAGUCAGGGUAAAGACCUGACUAGCCUACGACGGAUAUGGGUUGUGGGAGCAAUAACCCAGAGAUGAUAUCUGAGACACGAUAUCAGGCCCUACGGGGCGCAGCAGGCGCGAAAACUUCACACUGCGCGAAAGCGCGAUGAGGGAAUCCCAAGUGCUUGCACGUAAGUGUAAGCUGUUUCUUUGUUUAAAAAGCAUAGAGAGUAAGGGCUGGGUAAGACGGGUGCCAGCCGCCGCGGUAAUACCUGCAGCUCAAGUGGUGAUCGUUAUUAUUGGGCCUAAAACGUUCGUAGCCGGUUUAGUAAAUGCCUGGGUAAAUUGUGUAGCUCAACUAUACGAAUUCCGGGUAGACUGCUAAACUUGAGACCGGGAGAGGCUAGAGGUACUCCUGGGGUAGAGGUGAAAUUCUGUAAUCCUAGGGGGACCACCAGUGGCGAAGGCGUCUAGCUAGAACGGGUCUGACGGUGAGGGACGAAGCCCUGGGGCGCGAACCGGAUUAGAUACCCGGGUAGUCCAGGGUGUAAACGCUGCUUGCUUGAUGUUAGUCGGGCUCCGAGCCCGAUUAGUGUCGGAGAGAAGUUGUUAAGCAAGCUGCCUGGGAAGUACGGUCGCAAGACUGAAACUUAAAGGAAUUGGCGGGGGAGCACAGCAACAGGUGGAGCGUGCGGUUUAAUUGGAUUCAACGCCGGG
Molecule: ribosomal RNA, 915 nt
Filed under: uncultured archaeon
Lineage: Archaea
Description: bacterial SSU rRNA
Rfam family: Archaeal small subunit ribosomal RNA
Source: RNAcentral